This is a long non-coding RNA of Carassius auratus (goldfish), 988 nucleotides long. The record is from Ensembl. NCBI's taxonomy places the organism in Eukaryota, Metazoa, Chordata, Actinopteri, Cypriniformes, Cyprinidae.
GAUAAUAUCGGCACAAUAUCGGUAUCGGCCGAUAAAAGCUUAAAAUGACCAUUAUCGGUAUCGGCCGAUAUGAAUAUUUCUGCCGAUGAGCCAAACCGAUAUUCUCCAAGUGAAAUAAUUGACCUGUUUUUCAGAUGUGAAUGUCUGUCUACAUUUGUAAAAUAAUAAAUUUAUGGUAGAAUCAGUACAGAAGAGAUACAUGGAUUUCUCUUCAGUAAAAUUAAAGUUUAAAUAUAUCAGUAUAUAUUUGUAUAUAUAUCGAUAUCGGUAUCGGCAUCGGCCAAAAUUAUUUUGAAAAUAUCGGCAUAUCGAAUAUCGGCCAAAAUCCAAUAUCGUGCAUCCCUAAUUAAGAAUGCUGUGCAAUGUGUUUUUGUCUUUGUUCUAGAAAAAAAAACACUUUAGAAAGUUCUGAUGACGAAACAGACAUUGAGAUGAAGCGACAAUAUGAAAAAGCAAAAAGACAAAAAAAAGUUGCAAAAGAGAGGAUCCUCACUCAGUUGAAGGAUACACUGAGGAAACCACCCCACUCCACUCCAUGCAGAACCAAUCCAUUACAUAGUGAGGAGGAAGUUGAAUCUGAAACGGUGGACACAAACGUGGAUUUGUUCAAUUACCCAGGGAAUUCUCAAUCAACCAAACAAAAAAAGGUUGCAAAUGAGAGGAUCCUCACUCAGCUGAAGGAUACACUGAGGAAACCACUCCACUCUGAUCCACGCAGAACCAUUCCGUUACAUAGUGAGGAGGAAGUUCAAGCCGAAACCGUGGACACAAAUGUGGAUUUGUUCGAUUACCCAGAGAAUUUUCAACCAACUGAUACCUUAGAUGCUGUUGAGGCAAGUGGAGAGAGCGUGGAACAGCCAUUAUUUGUCAGUGGUGAAGUGUUGAAAGCUUUGAAAGAAAUCUCAACUGUGGCGUUUGGCACCUUGUUCGUACCCCACUUACGAUGUGUUUUUACACGUAUUACCUGUGGUGUGCAUCAGGAGUGGAG